GUGCCAGCCGCCGCGGUAAUACGGAGGGUGCAAGCGUUAAUCGGAAUUACUGGGCGUAAAGCGCACGCAGGCGGUCUGACAAGUCGGAUGUGAAAUCCCCGGGCUCAACCCGGGAACUGCAUUCGAAACUGUCAGGCUGGAGUCUUGUAGAGGGGGGUAGAAUUCCAGGUGUAGCGGUGAAAUGCGUAGAGAUCUGGAGGAAUACCGGUGGCGAAGGCGGCCCCCUGGACAAAGACUGACGCUCAGGUGCGAAAGCGUGGGGAGCAAACAGGAUUAGAUACCCUGGUAGUCCACGCCGUAAACGAUGUCGACUUGGAGGUUGUGCCCUUGAGGCGUGGCUUCGGAGCUAACGCGUUAAGUCGACCGCCUGGGGAUACGGCCGCAAGAUUAAAACUCAAAUGAAUUGACGGGGCCCGCACAAGCGGUGGAGCAUGUGGUUUAAUUCGAUGCAACGCGAAGAACCUUACCUACUCUUGACAUCCAGAGAAUUUAGCAGAGAUGCUUUAGUGCCUUUCGGGAACUCUGAGACAGGUG
Molecule: ribosomal RNA, 534 nt
Filed under: uncultured Kluyvera sp.
Lineage: Bacteria; Pseudomonadati; Pseudomonadota; Gammaproteobacteria; Enterobacterales; Enterobacteriaceae
Description: bacterial SSU rRNA
Rfam family: Bacterial small subunit ribosomal RNA
Source: RNAcentral